GUGAGGAAUAUUGGUCAAUGGACGAGAGUCUGAACCAGCCAAGUCGCGUGAAGGAAGACGGUUCUAUGAAUUGUAAACUUCUUUUGUGCAGGAAUAAAGUGGGUUACGUGUAACCUUUUGUAUGUACUGUACGAAUAAGGAUCGGCUAACUCCGUGCCAGCAGCCGCGGUAAUACGGAGGAUCCGAGCGUUAUCCGGAUUUAUUGGGUUUAAAGGGUGCGUAGGUGGAUUGAUAAGUCAGCGGUGAAAGUUUGCAGCUUAACUGUAAAAUUGCCGUUGAAACUGUCGGUCUUGAGUGCAAAUGAGGUAGGCGGAAUGUGUUGUGUAGCGGUGAAAUGCUUAGAUAUAACACAGAACUCCGAUUGCGAAGGCAGCUUACUGGGAUGCAACUGACACUGAUGCACGAAAGCGUGGGUAUCAAACUGGAUUAGAAACCCUUGUAGUCC
This 445-nucleotide ribosomal RNA is filed under the name uncultured bacterium. Its description in RNAcentral is "partial 16S ribosomal RNA". It matches the Rfam family "Bacterial small subunit ribosomal RNA", at positions 354 to 796 of the family's 1533-position model. The record is from RNAcentral.